AUGGGAGUCAUCAAAAUGCUAAGCCUAUUAUGCCUGCUACUGCUAAUGCCACUUCUUUUAGUUCCUAGUAAGAGCUUGGAAGCCAAGACUUGCGUUGUACAUAGCAGGACCUAUCAGACUAUAUUAUGCAAGGUGGAUCCAUGUGUUGAGGCCUGCCACAAGGAGGGAUUUACUUAUGGGUUCUGCUCCCCCUACCCCCUUAUAAUAGUUUGUUUCUGCGUAAAAAAAUGUUGA
This 234-nucleotide ribosomal RNA is filed under the name Triticum aestivum (bread wheat). RNAcentral describes it as "partial small subunit ribosomal RNA". Lineage: Eukaryota; Viridiplantae; Streptophyta; Magnoliopsida; Poales; Poaceae. The record is from RNAcentral.